CUCGUCAUGGUGUAGUGGUAGCACCCCUGUGGUAAGGAUCCUAAGCCCACAGAAGGCCGUAGUUCGAUUCUAUGUGACGGGGCCA
RNAcentral lists this transfer RNA (85 nucleotides) under Caudoviricetes sp. RNAcentral describes it as "tRNA-OTHER". Lineage: Duplodnaviria; Heunggongvirae; Uroviricota; Caudoviricetes. The record is from RNAcentral.